AGAGUAUGAUACUGGCUCAGAACAAACGCUGGCGGCGUGUCUGAAUGAUGCAAGUCUUACGAGAAAGGUGUUUUCGGAUACCUAGUAAAGUGGCGAACGGGUGAGUAACACGUGUGUAACCUGCCUUUGGAUUGUGGGAUAACACCCCGAAAGAGGUGCUAAUACCCAAUAGAGUUACCUGACACCAGUCAUUUAAUGAAAGAUGGCCUCUGCUUGCAAGCUAUCGUCCAAAGAUGGGCACGCGGUCUAUUAGCUAGUUGGUGAGGUAACGGCCCACCAAGGCUACGAUGGAUAGCUGGCCUGAGAGGUGGUCGGCCAUACUGGGAUUGAGAUACGGCCCAGACUCCUACGGGAGGCAGCAAAUCGGAAUAAUCGACAAUGGGAGAAAUCCUGAUCGUGCGACGCCGCGUGAGCGAUGAAGGCCUUCGGGUUGUAAAGCUCUGUGUCAUGGGAAGAAAUCUGGUAUGUGAAUAAUUUGCCAGUCUGACGGUACCAUAAUAGAAAGCCCCGGCUAACUACGUGCCAGCAGCCGCGGUAAUACGUAGGGGGCAAGCGUUGUUCGGAAUUACUGGGCGUAAAGGGCGUACAGGCGGUUAUGUAAGUCAGAUGUGUAAUCCUCAGGCUUAACCUGAGACUUGCAUUUGAUACUGCAUGACUUGAGAUCAGGAGAGGAGAGUGGAAUAUGUGGUGUAGCGGUGAAAUGCGUAGAGAUCACAUAGAACACCGGUGGCGAAGGCGGCUCUCUGGCCUGAUUCUGACGCUGACGCGCGAAAGCUAGGGUAGCGAACGGGAUUAGAUACCCCGGUAGUCCUAGCCGUAAACGAUGGGUACUAAGUGUAGGAGGUAAUUGACCCCUUCUGUGCUGUAGCUAACGCAUUAAGUACCCCGCCUGGGGACUACGACCGCAAGGUUAAAACUCAAAGUAAUUGACGGGGCCCCGCACAAGCGGUGGAGCAUGUCGCUUAAUUCGAAGCAACGCGAAGAACCUUAUCCAGUGGCUUGACAUCCUCUGACAACCGUGGAAACACGGCUUUCCCUUCGGGGACAGAGUGACAGGUGCUGCAUGGCAGUCGUCAGCUCGUGUCGUGAGAUGUUGGGUUAAGUCCCGCAACGAGCGCAACCCCUAUCUCUAGUUGCCAGCGCGUAAUGGCGGGGACUCUAGAGAGACUGCCGGUGAUAAACCGGAGGAAGGUGGGGAUGACGUC
Molecule: ribosomal RNA, 1205 nt
Filed under: metagenome
Description: bacterial SSU rRNA
Rfam family: Bacterial small subunit ribosomal RNA
Source: RNAcentral